Long non-coding RNA from Phycodurus eques (leafy seadragon), 625 nucleotides. RefSeq lists it as uncharacterized. The transcript is spliced from 3 exons. Lineage: Eukaryota; Metazoa; Chordata; Actinopteri; Syngnathiformes; Syngnathidae. The record is from RefSeq and is a predicted model, not a curated record.
UGAUAAAUUAAAACAAAUUCCUUUGCGGCCAUUGCGGUGUGAGCUGUGGCGCUCAUUGGAGACAGGUGUGCACCGGGGAGCCACGAAGGGCACGCAGGUGGACUAAUGGCCACCAGCAGCAAAAUGGCUUUUCACUGCCACAGGAGCAGCAUUCAAGGAAAGAGCUCAGAAGGACCGGGAAAAGGAACAAUUCCACACACCAAGUGAAGACUCAAUGGGUGCAAAGAGUUGUCUUUGCAUGUAAAUGGUGAACAGGAGGGGCCGGAGUACUGAGCUUUGCGGUUUGCCUCGGUUGACUGUGGCUACGGAAGGGUUGCGUGGCGGUAGGUCCGAUUUGUAAUGAGGGCAGGCGUGGAAAGUGUCGGUAGAGUUGAUGGUUGCACGCGGUGGUUUGGUUCAGUGGUUGUUGCGAAGGAAGGAAGGAAGGUCGAGACGGUCCGCAGGUUGUUCGGCUUGUCUCGGUCCCGAGCAGCUCUCGGUUUUGCGUUGACGUGUACAGUGCAGGCUUGGAAUGAGGAAUUUAUCGUAUUGAUCAACACAAAACUGAAUAGAAUUUCAGGGUGAAGACCAACAAUUGUAGACAACCGGCACGCAGUUCCAAGAUGAACAGCUUCUUCUCCUUUGA